UGUUUCUGAGAUAUUUCAGUUUGUUUGGUAUGCAAAUAUCCGGAAUUUACGUCACAAAUGCAUAAUGAUUUAAAGUAAAAGUUUGUAUAUCGUAUUCACUCUCGAGUUGAAUUUUCAUGAUAUUUAACUGUACCUUACAUUCCUUGAUCAGUCAUUAUUCUUAUGUGACGUAAAUUCCGGACAUUUGCAAUCAAUAAAACUGAAAUAACCGCUCAGAGACA
This is a non-coding RNA of Paramuricea clavata, 221 nucleotides long. NCBI's taxonomy places the organism in Eukaryota, Metazoa, Cnidaria, Anthozoa, Malacalcyonacea, Plexauridae. The record is from the annotation of a GenBank genome assembly.